GGACGGAGGGAAUAGUUUGGAGACAGAUUGACAGUCUGGGACAAUCUACAAGAUGCUUAUGAUGCCGCCAACCCCGGUGGGUCUCAAGCUUAUCCGGCAGCAGCGUACGCAAUGCAACGAUGAUAACUACAGCUACAAGCUAUGUAGACGACGACCAGGGCGUCCUGCAGGAGAUAACUAACUAGUAUAGCUAGGAUGAAGGCCAUGCAGCUGCAAUGGCCAACUCGGGAUAAAAUCA
RNAcentral lists this long non-coding RNA (238 nucleotides) under Setaria viridis. RNAcentral's name for it is "long non-coding RNA (SVIR_LNC000335)". Lineage: Eukaryota; Viridiplantae; Streptophyta; Magnoliopsida; Poales; Poaceae. The record is from RNAcentral.